UACCUGGUGCCGGAGAAUAAAAUCAUUCGGCUCUUUCGGGUAAUGUACUCCAUUGCAAUUGCUCGUCUCAAGUCAAACUCUUAUAUAUAUAUUAAUAUUAAUAUAACCAGCUGCAGCUCAGCCGACCCAAGAUACAAGAGGACCAUAAAUUUUAAAUAUGGUUUUUCUUGAAAAAUUUCGAAAAUGUUGCUCAGAAAAAUAUACCAGGUUCGAUACCAUCCCACCCACUGGCUCUUCGCCACUUUUCCUCCGAGCUUUACCUCCACCCCAUUUUUCGCCACGCUGACACGAAUAAUAGAAUAAAUUUACUUUAACCCGACACAUACCUGAAACAAAUUGUGCGCAGAUUCGACACCAGGGAGAAUUAAGUACGACACAAGAAGCUUACAGACGUGGCGAGAAAAUCCAACAUGACAAUGAGCGACGACUCCCACCCGGAAGUGACUUUCACUUGGAAUCACUUUCUUCCAAUGAUAUGACCGCUUGGUGCAAAGACUUGGAGGAAUCUGAGCAUAUCGACGUCCACAAUGGGCAGCUUUGCAAACCUUACUUUCAACAAAGUCUCGACCAGCCACCCCAAGUUUCCUCGUCCAUCUUCUUGCUCCCUCCCGGAAUUUCGAAGUAGUCUAAGAAGAGGGAUAGAACUUCAGUGAAAAUAGAUUCCUCCCCCACCUGCAUGCACUGUUGGACGUGGAACCUCCCAACUGGGACAAGAACCACGAGUACGGGUCUGCCGACGUGGACGUUUAUUACGUCGAUGGUCAGCGCGGCGGCUGGGUCAAGACUGAAGAGGGGACCGCUUUACGAGACGUCAUGCGACAAGAGAGAUAUUAUCUCCCGAGUCGGGAGUCCCGACGAAUGGAGUACCUGGAUUUUUUAUUCUCUCAAAAAAAUCAGAAUUUUGUAAAUUUUUCUUGGAAAGGAUGAAAUGACAUGACAUUCAAUAAAUGAAUUGAAAAUGUGGAAUUAUUUUUAA
Long non-coding RNA from Folsomia candida, 976 nucleotides. RefSeq lists it as uncharacterized. The record is from RefSeq and is a predicted model, not a curated record. Lineage: Eukaryota; Metazoa; Arthropoda; Collembola; Entomobryomorpha; Isotomidae. The transcript is spliced from 6 exons.